GACGAACGCUGGCGGCGUGCUUAACACAUGCAAGUCGAACGGAAAGGCCUCUUUCGGGGGGUACUCGAGUGGCGAACGGGUGAGUAACACGUGAGUAACCUGCCCUUGACUUUGGGAUAACUUCAGGAAACUGGGGCUAAUACCGGAAAGGAGUUCCUGCUGCAUGGUGGGGGUUGGAAAGUUUCGGCGGUUGGGGAUGGAUUCGCGGCUUAUCAGCUUGUUGGGGGGGUAGUGGGUUACCAAGGCUUUGACGGGUAGCCGGCCUGAGAGGGUGACCGGCCACAUUGGGACUGAGGUACGGCCCAGACGCCGACGGGAGGAAGCAGUGGGGAAGAUUGCACAAGGGGUGGAGGCCGGAUGCAGCAACGCCGUGGGCGGGAUGACGGCCUUCGGGUUGUAAACCGCUUUCGCUCAUGACGAAGCUUUGUGUGACGGUAGUGGGUAAAGAAGCACCGGCUAACUACGUG
RNAcentral lists this ribosomal RNA (467 nucleotides) under uncultured bacterium. Its description in RNAcentral is "partial 16S ribosomal RNA". It matches the Rfam family "Bacterial small subunit ribosomal RNA", at positions 28 to 507 of the family's 1533-position model. The record is from RNAcentral.